CGCAUAUUGCGCCCUUUGGUAUUCCGAAGGGCAUGCCUGUUCGAGCGUCAUUAUCACCCCUCAAGCCAGGCUUGCUGUUGGAUCGGGUCCGUUAAACCGGACCGCUCCCAAAGAUAAUGACGGCGUCUGCGAGGACUCCAGUACACUGAGCUUUCGGGCACGUACUCGGCUAGAAAUCCGGACCCGGUCUUCGUCCUUUGCGGGACACUUCUUUCAAGGUUGACCUCGGAUCAGGUAGGAAUACCCGCUGAACUUAA
Molecule: unclassified non-coding RNA, 257 nt
Filed under: Cyphellophora deltoidea
Lineage: Eukaryota; Fungi; Ascomycota; Eurotiomycetes; Chaetothyriales; Cyphellophoraceae
Description: Anthopsis deltoidea partial contains 5.8S ribosomal RNA, internal transcribed spacer 2, and large subunit ribosomal RNA
Source: RNAcentral